GGCCGAUAACCCAGUUUAGUUUAUUAGUUUGAUGUACAGAUAUGUACAGCGAUUAAUUCAAAAUCAGUUGAAUUAAUACAUAGUGCACUACGAAUUAAUCUGUGAUAUGCUACAAGACAAUGUGUGUGCACAGGUGAGACUUGUACCUGGGCUGAACCAAACUAUGCAAAAUGUCAGUCUGUAUACUUAGUCUAUGAGGUUUAUGACAAGCUUGAGAUGCUUCGGCUUGGCUAUCAGCAAACAACCAUUAAGUACGUAUACGAUCAAUUAUGUGAGUUUAUCAUAAGAAGAAAUAAUAACCACUUAUAUUCUGGCGAUGUUGAUUUAGCUGUUAGCAUUCUUCGUUCGUUACUGAGACAUUUGGAACAAUACCCACAAUUGUCAGCCCGCGAUGACAAGAUUAC
Long non-coding RNA from Mytilus trossulus (common blue mussel), 404 nucleotides. RefSeq lists it as uncharacterized. Lineage: Eukaryota; Metazoa; Mollusca; Bivalvia; Mytilida; Mytilidae. The record is from RefSeq and is a predicted model, not a curated record. The transcript is spliced from 3 exons.